RNAcentral lists this ribosomal RNA (253 nucleotides) under uncultured bacterium. RNAcentral's name for it is "partial 16S ribosomal RNA". It matches the Rfam family "Bacterial small subunit ribosomal RNA", at positions 524 to 776 of the family's 1533-position model. The record is from RNAcentral.
UACGGGGGGGGCUAGCGUUGUUCGGAAUUACUGGGCGUAAAGCGCACGUAGGCGGCUUUGUAAGUUAGAGGUGAAAGCCCGGGGCUCAACUCCGGAAUUGCCUUUAAGACUGCAUCGCUAGAAUUGUGGAGAGGUAAGUGGAAUUCCGAGUGUAGAGGUGAAAUUCGUAGAUAUUCGGAAGAACACCAGUGGCGAAGGCGACUUACUGGACACAUAUUGACGCUGAGGUGCGAAAGCGUGGGGAGCAAACAGG